Molecule: long non-coding RNA, 1898 nt
Filed under: Rattus norvegicus (Norway rat)
Lineage: Eukaryota; Metazoa; Chordata; Mammalia; Rodentia; Muridae
Description: long non-coding RNA NONRATT024761
Source: RNAcentral
GUCACGAUCUAGAUCACAUUCCCGAUCCAGGGGAAGGCGAUACUCUCGCUCACGUAGUAGGAGCCGCGGUAGGAGGUGAGAAAUUUGUAAAAUUCAAAAUUUAACAGGAGGAAAAAAUACGACAAGAUGGGCUUAAGAACUGCUUCUAAUUUUUAGGUCAAGAUCAGCAUCUCCUCGACGAUCAAGGUCCGUGUCUCUUCGUAGAUCAAGAUCAGCUUCACUCAGAAGAUCUAGGUCUGGUUCUAUAAUAGGAUCGAGGUAUUUCCAGUAUGUAGCACAUUUUUCCUGCUUACUAGUAGAUGGAUUGUCGUGUCUUUAGUAUCAAGGCAGGGUUUCUCUAUAGCCCUGGCUGUAGACCAGGCUGGCUUCGAACUCAAAUCCACUUGCCUCUGCCUCCUGAGCACUGGGAUUGAGCCGCCACCACUGGAUCCUGACUGGAUUGUCGUCAUGUCUUAAUGACACAGUGAAGUAUCUUAAUUCAAAUGGGGUGCCUCUGAUACUUGAGUAUGCACACUUGUACUCCUAGCACUUGGACUGAGACUGAAACCAGGAAGAUAAUUUGGACCUAGGGUUGGAGGACAGAAGAAGAGCAUAGUGAGGUACACAUCCCACCUCAGGACAGAUUUUAGUGAACAAUCUGGGCAGGCAUGAUGCUACCUUGGUGAAGAAGAUGGUGACAGAGCUUGCCUCCAAGCUUGAUAAAAGACUAGGAGGGAGACAGGAUCUGCCUGCCUCUUAAUAUGAGAUUAAAGGUGUAUGCCAUCGCAAUAGCUGAAUGGACUUUUUCUUUUUAGUUGUUUAAUGAGACAACAGUCCUUGCUCUGUAGACCAGGCUGGCCUAAAACUCAAAGGGACUCACCCGCUUCCACCUCCCAAGUUCUGGGAUUAAAGGAGUAUACCAUCGCCAUCUGGCCUGAAUAGGGGGUUAACCUUACAUUUGGAUUCAAUGUAUUUAAGUCAACUUGAGUCCAUUGUAAGAAGUCCUUUAAAAGUUUUUGUUUUUUAUAAAUAAUUUGCACUACAGAUGAAAAGCAGUUGUGUAUGAAAGUCACUUUACUGCUGUUUAAAACUCAUAAAUCAAUUUGAGAAAGUUAUUGAACCCAUCUUUAGAUAGACUUAAUUAUAGGGUCCCAAGAUUUUCAAAAGAUAUGGUCAGCCUAACUUGGUUUGACAAACGGAGCAACUAUGAUAACAAGAAUAAAGUCAGCUCAGCAGUUGGAUGGAACCACUUGGUGAUUGUGGUUAUUAGUGUUAGAAAGUGGGACUGUUGUGUCUUUGUAGGCGUAGUGACCAUACUGUGUAUGGUGGAGGUAGGCAUCUGAAAUAGUGGUUCUUAGAUUGGAUCCAUGUGAGAGGCAAGACUUGUGCAGUAAUUGUUUCUACUCUUUCCUAUCCUAUCUACUCUCUGGGAAGGUGCUUAGUUAUAAAGGCAUUCUUGUAAUUGUGUCCCCUUUCCUUUUUAUUAAGAUCCCGCUCAAGGUCGAGAUCAAGAUCCAGGUCUAUUUCACGACCAAGAAGCAGCCGAUCAAAAUCCAGAUCUCCAUCUCCUAAAAGAAGUCGUUCCCCAUCAGGAAGUCCACACAGAAGUGCAAGUCCAGAAAGAAUGGACUGAAGUUCUCAAGUUCACCCGUUAGGGAAAAGUUAUUUUGUUUACAUUAUUAUAAGGGAUUUGUUAUGUCUGUAAAGUGUAACCUAGGAAGGUUCAUCAACCAUCUAAUCAAAAUGGAUCUGGAUUAUUACUCUGUAAAAUUCACAGCAGUAAAUAUUGUUUUUGUUGAAUGUAUUAACAUCUUAUGGUCUGGAAAUGUAGGUUUUUAUUUGACACAUUUAAAUAAAAUGUUUCUAACUAGAUGUUUUGAUUUGUGUUCAAUAUUAAUACUUUUUCAAUUGGGUAAGCA